GGGGGGGGGGGGGGGGGGGGGUGGGGGGGGCGGGGCGGGCGGGAGGGGCCUGGUGGGGGGGGGGGCUCGAGUGGCGGCCGGGCGAGUGACACGUGGGUAACCUGCCCUUGACUUUGGGCUAACGUCAGGAACCUGGGGCUAAUACCGGAUAGGCGCUCCUGCUGCAUGGUGGGGGUUGGACAGUUUCGGCGGUUGGGGCUGGACUCGCGGCUUAUCAGCUUGUUGGUGGGGUAGUGGCUUACCAAGGCUUUGACGGGUAGCCGGCCUGAGAGGGUGACCGGCAAAGUUGGGACUGAGCUACGGCCCAGACUCCUACGGGAGGCAGCAGUGGGGAAUAUUGCACAAUGGGCGGAAGCCUGAUGCAGCAACGCCGCGUGCGGGAUGACGGCCUUCGGGUUGUAAACCGCUUUCGCCUGUGACGAAGCGUGAGUGACGGUAAUGGGUAAAGAAGCACCGGCUAACUACGUG
Molecule: ribosomal RNA, 468 nt
Filed under: uncultured bacterium
Lineage: Bacteria
Description: partial 16S ribosomal RNA
Rfam family: Bacterial small subunit ribosomal RNA (bases 50-468)
Source: RNAcentral